AUGAAAGCUGCUGCUGAUACCGAUGACAACACGCCCCGCCCUGCAAACAAGCCCGAACAUUCUGUAGCGGCCGAUUCAGAUAUGUUUGUUGAUCUUUCACCAUUGGAUUCUGCCCCGCAAAUCGUUCGUGGUCCGGCCAGUAGGAAUGAGAAGCACCCAAUGGCAUUUACCCCACCGAGCUUCAGCCUUGGCACAAUUCAAGACCAAGCGGUGGUGCAUGAUCCUAUGCCAGUUGCCUUUGCUUUUCCAGGAGGCACGGGUGCAAUGAUGGCGCAGCCAAUGGUCGAGGGCAGGAAGGCUGUCAAGUUUGCGGAGCCAAUUGUGCAAGGCACCCCUGAGGAAAUCUCACCGUCACUUGACGAAGCUUACAGCAAGAUUGAGGAGGCAACAUUGCAGAGGAGGACAUCGCGAUGGCAAGGGCAAUCAAGUUCCAACUUGACUGCAGAGACGGCAACUGGGGAUACCAUCAGAAGCGCGACCCCUGGUUCUGUGAGAUAG
RNAcentral lists this ribosomal RNA (498 nucleotides) under Triticum aestivum (bread wheat). Its description in RNAcentral is "partial small subunit ribosomal RNA". Lineage: Eukaryota; Viridiplantae; Streptophyta; Magnoliopsida; Poales; Poaceae. The record is from RNAcentral.